UGGGGAAUUUUGGACAAUGGGGGAAACCCUGAUCCAGCCAUCCCGCGUGUGCGAUGAAGGCCUUCGGGUUGUAAAGCACUUUUGGCAGGAAAGAAACGUCGCGGGUUAAUACCCCGCGAAACUGACGGUACCUGCAGAAUAAGCACCGGCUAACUACGUGCCAGCAGCCGCGGUAAUACGUAGGGUGCAAGCGUUAAUCGGAAUUACUGGGCGUAAAGCGUGCGCAGGCGGUUCGGAAAGAAAGAUGUGAAAUCCCAGAGCUUAACUUUGGAACUGCAUUUUUAACUACCGGGCUAGAGUGUGUCAGAGGGAGGUGGAAUUCCGCGUGUAGCAGUGAAAUGCGUAGAUAUGCGGAGGAACACCGAUGGCGAAGGCAGCCUCCUGGGAUAACACUGACGCUCAUGCACGAAAAGCGUGGGGAGCAAACAGGAUUAGAUACCCUGGUAGUCCACGCCCUAAAACGAUGUCAAACUAGCUGUUGGGGGCCUUCGGGCCUUGGUAGCGCAGCUAACGCGUGAAGUUGACCGCCUGGGGAGUACGGUCGCAAGAUUAAAAACUU
Molecule: ribosomal RNA, 559 nt
Filed under: uncultured bacterium
Lineage: Bacteria
Description: partial 16S ribosomal RNA
Rfam family: Bacterial small subunit ribosomal RNA
Source: RNAcentral